RNAcentral lists this long non-coding RNA (430 nucleotides) under Gossypium barbadense (sea-island cotton). Its description in RNAcentral is "long non-coding RNA (GBAR_LNC018093)". The record is from RNAcentral. Lineage: Eukaryota; Viridiplantae; Streptophyta; Magnoliopsida; Malvales; Malvaceae.
AGCAACUUAAAAAGAAACGAAGAUGAACGAAGAACAAAAUAAGAACAAGCCACAGAAAAUAAGAACGCAAGAGAGAGAAAUUUGAGUGAAUGCUCUUAAAAAUUAUUAUUGCUCCAAACUCAAGUGUUUUACAAUGAAAGGAGAGGCCCCUAUUUAUAGUUGAGCCUCCCAAAAUCCAACGGUACAGAUUAAUUACAUGAACAGCUAAGAUUAAGGGAUUUCUACAAAUUAAAUCUCUAAGAUUACACAAUUAUAUCAUAUCUAAGAUUGCAUAUCCUUGAAGAUUAUGUUUUCAUAUGCGUCAAGUUUGUAGAUGGACCUUCAACCUUUUCAAGUAAUGGGUCAUUCCAAUCGGGCCAAAUGAUAUAAUUUUGGACUGGACUUAGACUUUAUUUUAUUAUUUUGGGUAUAUUUUUUUUUGUGAGCCCAG